UGAAUCUUUUCUCUCCCCAUAUCCUUCUGGCUUGCACAUGGUACCUCCCACUCCAGCCUGUCUUAAAACAAUUCUUUCUAAAAUAAACCAGCAGAAAAGAUCAUUUGAUCAGUUUGCAUACAGACUCUGGAAUGUUCUAGAAGCUGAUUUCUCCCGUCCAACUAACUACCUAAGGUUCUGGAGAUGAAGCUCAGUGCCUUGCAUAUCUAGGCUUAUCUGGAGACAUAGCCUUUACAGGAGGACUCACCCCAGCCACUCUCCAGGAGACUUCCAGGCUUCCAGCCUUGGAAUGGAUUCCAAUAUUCAGGCUGGAAUUGCUGACAAAAGAGAUCUUGUUCCAGGAAAGUUGGCAAUGGCAUCACUGAACCCAGAGGGGAGGGAUUUGACGGAGACCUUCCAUUUAAAGCUAAGUGUUCCAAGGUCUCACGCUUUGCAUGUUGCCUGGCUGUGGGUCUCUAUAUUUGGUCACACCUGCUGCAAGAGGAAGCUUCCUUGAAGAUGAGACUGAGGCACUGAUCUCUGAGUACCACAGAAUGUCAUUAUGAGUCAUCUUAUCUCUAUCUUCCUUUCGUGAAACAGCAGCCUUUGGCUUUACCCUAGGUCCCCAGGACAUCUAGUAUCAGGUUCUUGGUUACCCAAGCAGCAUUGGGGUGUGUGCUCCAUCUCAUGGAGUGGGUCUUGUUUAAAUCAGAUAUUGACUGGUUACUUGCACAUGCUAUGUGCCGCCAUUGCACUUGUAUAGGAUGACAAACACCACUGUAGAUCAAAGGGGUUUUAGCUGGGUUGGUGUUUCUGUUUCUCCUUUGGGAGCGUACAGAGAGCUGUUGGACACUAAGAGAACUAAUCCAGAGUGGUGAAGGUUCUAUGUAGGCACCAGCUCAGCCUCUCUGUGUUCAGUGGGUUGUGUAGGCGUCGUCUUCAGCAAUGGAGCCUUGCCAUCAGUCUGUGGAGAGCAACCUAGAGUCUGGGCAACAGUCUGCACUGUUUAGGGAUUUCCACGGGACCACUUUGGCCAACAAGUCAACUAGAUGUAACCGAUGGCGGUUCUGGAAGUUUCAUUUGGGGACAAGAGAUGGCCAGUUGAACUCUGUCUCCCUUGUUACUUGGAGAUUUCAUUUAGAUCGCCUACAUAUAAAUAUACUUUCGAAAGCGUCUACAGUAUUAGGUUUCCAUGCUACCCCUCGCGUGACUCUUAAUUUUAACACUCUCUCCCCAUACUCCCUCCCCUUCCCCACUUACCCUUCGAAUUCCAGGCACACACAGCCUUGUCCAUCCAUAACUAUUCUAUUUAUCAUCCCUAGAGGGAGCUAUUUGUUCCUCCUAGCCUCUUACUCUGUACCUAACAUCUGUGGUUCUGUGACUUGUAGCUUGCUUACUGUUGACUUAACAGCUAAUGUCCACAUAGAAGUGAAUACUUUUA
Long non-coding RNA from Mus musculus (house mouse), 1420 nucleotides. RefSeq annotates it as predicted gene, 40925. The record is from RefSeq and is a predicted model, not a curated record. The transcript is spliced from 6 exons. Lineage: Eukaryota; Metazoa; Chordata; Mammalia; Rodentia; Muridae.